UUCCCAGCAACUCCUAUCUCUACCUCCUCGCGGUACUGGCCGGGAUACGAGUAGCCUUAGGGAAGA
RNAcentral lists this ribozyme (66 nucleotides) under Aedes aegypti (yellow fever mosquito). Its description in RNAcentral is "drz-agam-1 ribozyme". It matches the Rfam family "drz-agam-1 ribozyme". Lineage: Eukaryota; Metazoa; Arthropoda; Insecta; Diptera; Culicidae. The record is from Rfam by way of RNAcentral.